GACGAACGCUGGCGGCGUGCUUAACACAUGCAAGUCGAACGGAAAGGCCCUGCUUUUGUGGGGUGCUCGAGUGGCGAACGGGUGAGUAACACGUGAGUAACCUGCCCUUGACUUUGGGAUAACUUCAGGAAACUGGGGCUAAUACCGGAUAGGAGCUCCUGCUGCAUGGUGGGGGUUGGAAAGUUUCGGCGGUUGGGGAUGGACUCGCGGCUUAUCAGCUUGUUGGUGGGGUAGUGGCUUACCAAGGCUUUGACGGGUAGCCGGCCUGAGAGGGUGACCGGCCACAUUGGGACUGAGAUACGGCCCAGACUCCUACGGGAGGCAGCAGUGGGGAAUAUUGCACAAUGGGCGGAAGCCUGAUGCAGCAACGCCGCGUGCGGGAUGACGGCCUUCGGGUUGUAAACCGCUUUCGCCUGUGACGAAGCGUGAGUGACGGUAAUGGGUAAAGAAGCACCGGCUAACUAAGUG
This 468-nucleotide ribosomal RNA is filed under the name uncultured bacterium. RNAcentral describes it as "partial 16S ribosomal RNA". It matches the Rfam family "Bacterial small subunit ribosomal RNA", at positions 28 to 507 of the family's 1533-position model. The record is from RNAcentral.